RNAcentral lists this ribosomal RNA (1448 nucleotides) under uncultured bacterium. Its description in RNAcentral is "bacterial SSU rRNA". It matches the Rfam family "Bacterial small subunit ribosomal RNA". The record is from RNAcentral.
AGAGUUGAUCAUGGCUCAGGAUGAACGCUGGCGGCGUGCUUAACACAUGCAAGUCGAACGAACCUUCGGGUUAGUGGCGGACGGGUGAGUAACGCGUGAGAAUCUGCCCUCAGGAGGGGGAUAACGGUUGGAAACGACCGCUAAUACCCCAUAUGCCUACUGGUGAAAUGAAUUUCGCCUGAGGAUGAGCUCGCGUCUGAUUAGCUAGUUGGUGAGGUAAUGGCUCACCAAGGCUUCGAUCAGUAGCUGGUCUGAGAGGAUGAUCAGCCACACUGGGACUGAGACACGGCCCAGACUCCUACGGGAGGCAGCAGUGGGGAAUUUUCCGCAAUGGGCGAAAGCCUGACGGAGCAACGCCGCGUGAGGGACGAAGGCCUCUGGGCUGUAAACCUCUUUUCUCAAGGAAGAAGAUAUGACGGUACUUGAGGAAUAAGCCACGGCUAAUUCCGUGCCAGCAGCCGCGGUAAUACGGGAGUGGCAAGCGUUAUCCGGAAUUAUUGGGCGUAAAGCGUCCGCAGGCGGCUUUUCAAGUCUGCUGUUAAAGCGUGGAGCUUAACUCCAUCAUGGCAGUGGAAACUGAAAGGCUUGAGUAUGGUAGGGGCAGAGGGAAUUCCCGGUGUAGCGGUGAAAUGCGUAGAUAUCGGGAAGAACACCAGUGGCGAAGGCGCUCUGCUGGGCCAUUACUGACGCUCAUGGACGAAAGCCAGGGGAGCGAAAGGGAUUAGAUACCCCUGUAGUCCUGGCCGUAAACGAUGAACACUAGGUGUCGGGGGAAUCGACCCCUUCGGUGUCGUAGCUAACGCGUUAAGUGUUCCGCCUGGGGAGUACGCACGCAAGUGUGAAACUCAAAGGAAUUGACAGGGGCCCGCACAAGCGGUGGAGUAUGUGGUUUAAUUCGAUGCAACGCGAAGAACCUUACCAGGGUUUGACAUCCUGCGAACCUCUUAGAAAUUUGAGGGUGCCUUCGGGAAUGCAGUGACAGGUGGUGCAUGGCUGUCGUCAGCUCGUGUCGUGAGAUGUUGGGUUAAGUCCCGCAACGAGCGCAACCCACGUUUUUAGUUGCCAGCAUUUAGUUGGGCACUCUAGAAAGACCGCCGGUGAUAAACCGGAGGAAGGUGUGGAUGACGUCAAGUCAUCAUGCCCCUUACACCCUGGGCUACACACGUACUACAAUGCUACGGACAAAGGGCAGCAAACUCGCGAGAGCUAGCAAAUCCCAUAAACCGUGGCUCAGUUCAGAUCGUAGGCUGCAACUCGCCUACGUGAAGUAGGAAUCGCUAGUAAUCGCAGGUCAGCAUACUGCGGUGAAUACGUUCCCGGGCCUUGUACACACCGCCCGUCACACCAUGGAAGUUGGCCAUGCCCGAAGUCGUUACUCCAACCCUUGUGGAGGAGGACGCCGAAGGUGGGGCUAAUGACUGGGGUGAAGUCGUAACAAGGUAACCGUA